This 1656-nucleotide unclassified non-coding RNA is filed under the name uncultured fungus. Its description in RNAcentral is "sequence contains 18S rRNA gene, ITS1, 5.8S rRNA gene, ITS2, 28S rRNA gene". The stretch from base 607 to 1656 matches the Rfam family "Eukaryotic large subunit ribosomal RNA", at positions 1 to 961 of the family's 3401-position model. The record is from RNAcentral. Lineage: Eukaryota; Fungi.
GGAUGGAUCAUUACCAAAGCACAGUCUUGAGUGUUGUGUGAAUUAGUUUUUAGCUUGGUGGGUGGUUCCUUGCCUUGGUUUUUUGGCUGGGGCAAGGGAAAUCCCCAAGGAAUGCACGUAAAUUUGGUGAACCAGUGUCUCUUAGUAGGUUAUAUACAACACUAAAGACAACUUUUAGCAAUGGAUCUCUUGGCUCUCGCAACGAUGAAGAACGCAGCGAAAUGCGAUAAGUAAUGUGAAUUGCAAGCACCGUGAAUCAUUAAAUCUUUGAACGCACAUUGCACUGUUUGGAAUUCCGAACAGUAUGCCUGUUUGAGUAUCAGUAAACACUCUUGCCUUGCAGUCAGUUUUGACUGUGGGCGAGGAUCUGAGUGACUGUCUGUCUGUCGGUCGAGUGUUGCCUCAGCAAUGAGGGAACAAACGAACGAACGGGCAUCACUUUAAAUGCAUUGUCGUGCACCUUGGGUUAUUAACAUUCAAUUUUGACUGACAGAGUUGAUGGCUCCGGCCUUGGUCUGUCAAUGCCCAAUUGAAAGGGAAAUCCAGUAGGAACGCGACCAUUUAACCAAAGCAUCCUCCCUUCCCUGUGUGAAAGGGAUGCGAUUUUGAUCUCAAAUCAGGCAAGAUUACCCGCUGAACUUAAGCAUAUUAAUAAGCGGAGGAACAGAAACUAACAAGGAUUCCCUCAGUAAUGGCGAAUGAAGCGGGAACAGCUCAAAUUUAAAAUCUCUUGCGAGAAUUGUAGUUUGUAGAAGUGCUUUCGAUGGUUGGCUCAGGUAAAAGUUCCUUGGAAUGGGACAUCAUAGAGGGUGAGAAUCCCGUCCAUGACCUGGGUACCAGCCGCGAUGUGAUGCACUUUCAAAGAGUCAGGUUGUUUGGGAAUGCAGCCUAAAGUGGGUGGUAUAUUUCAUCUAAAGCUAAAUACAGGCGAGAGACCGAUAGCGAACAAGUACCGUGAGGGAAAGAUGAAAAGAACUUUGAAAAGAGAGUUAAACAGUACGUGAAAUUGCUAAAAGGGAAACGAUUGAAAUCAGUGUUGGCCCCACAAUACAGCCAGUCAGCAAUGGCUGGUUCACUUUUGUGGUUGGCCAGGUCAACAUCAGUUUGGAGCGAGGUAAAUUAGCCCUGGAAGGUUGCUGUUUCCUUGUGUGACAGUGUUAUAGCCAGGGUGACUGCCUCGGUCUGGACUGAGGAACGCAGUGCAUGCCUUUUUGGCUGGCGAAGCAGGUGCUAGUGGGUGGUUGUUUGGUAGCAGCGUGCUGAUGCUAGACAGACGUCCCGCUACCCACUUGUGGAGUACAAAUGUGCUUAGGAUGUUGACGAAAUGGUUUUAAACGACCCGUCUUGAAACACGGACCAAGGAGUCUAACACAUGUGCGAGUGUUUGGGUAGAAAGCCCGGACGCGUAAUGAAAGUGAAUGCAGGUGGGAUUCCCUUCAACAAGGAAGCACCAUUGACCGGUCUGGACUCUUUUGAUGAUAGAUCUGAGUAAGAGCAUAUCUGUUGGGACCCGAAAGAUGGUGAACUAUGCCUGAAUAGGGCGAAGCCAGAGGAAACUCUGGUGGAGGCUCGUAGCGGUACUGACGUGCAAAUCGUUCGUCAAAUUUGGGUAUAGGGGCGAAAGACUAAUCGAACCAUCUAGUAGCUGGUUCCCUC